GGCUAAUUGAUAUAAGUGAUGAAGUGUUUGACUUGUAAUCUUUUAAGGACUACUUGGACAAAAAGCUACGUGAUUUAGAUGAUUCAAUGAAACGCCAUCUAUCUAGUGAAAAAAAGAGCUUACAGUACAAUUUGAAAAAAAAACUUCGAUGAGUUGAAAAAUACGUUGUCUGCUAAUAAUCUAUCUGGAACUCCUCGGCUUAACGUAUCUGAUGCAACAACAAAAUUAUAUGUCAAAUUGCCCUUUACAGAAUUAGAAGAUUUUAAGAAAUUUGAUGACGACGUAAAAAGGUCAGAAUCAAAAAAAGAAGCAUUGACUACUGCUAGAGGAUGUAUAUGUAAAAUAGCAUCUGCUUUAUUGACUAAAAGUAUUGAAACACAUUAUUCAGGCACGG
Polistes dominula (European paper wasp) is the source of this 394-nucleotide long non-coding RNA. RefSeq lists it as uncharacterized. NCBI's taxonomy places the organism in Eukaryota, Metazoa, Arthropoda, Insecta, Hymenoptera, Vespidae. The record is from RefSeq and is a predicted model, not a curated record.